UAGGGAAUCUUCGGCAAUGGACGGAAGUCUGACCGAGCAACGCCGCGUGAGUGAAGAAGGUUUUCGGAUCGUAAAGCUCUGUUGUUAGAGAAGAACGUUGGUAGGAGUGGAAAAUCUACCAAGUGACGGUAACUAACCAGAAAGGGACGGCUAACUACGUGCCAGCAGCCGCGGUAAUACGUAGGUCCCGAGCGUUGUCCGGAUUUAUUGGGCGUAAAGCGAGCGCAGGCGGGUCUUUAAGUCUGAAGUUAAAGGCAGUGGCUUAACCAUUUUACGCUUUGGAAACUGGAGGACUUGAGUGCAGAAUGGGAGAGUGGAAUUCCAUGUGUAGCGGUGAAAUGCGUAGAUAUAUGGAGGAACACCGGUGGCGAAAGCGGCUCUCUGGUCUGUAACUGACGCUGAGGCUCGAAAGCGUGGGGAGCAAACAGG
RNAcentral lists this ribosomal RNA (429 nucleotides) under Bacillota bacterium. RNAcentral's name for it is "Firmicutes bacterium partial 16S ribosomal RNA". It matches the Rfam family "Bacterial small subunit ribosomal RNA", at positions 355 to 776 of the family's 1533-position model. Lineage: Bacteria; Bacillati; Bacillota. The record is from RNAcentral.